GACGAACGCUGGCGGCGUGCUUAACACAUGCAAGUCGAACGGAAAGGCCCUGCUUGCAGGGUACUCGAGUGGCGAACGGGUGAGUAACACGUGGGUGAUCUGCCCUGCACUUCGGGAUAAGCCUGGGAAACUGGGUCUAAUACCGGAUAGGAGCCAUUUUUAGUGUGAUGGUUGGAAAGUUUUUUCGGUGUAGGAUGAGCUCGCGGCCUAUCAGCUUGUUGGUGGGGUAAUGGCCUACCAAGGCGGCGACGGGUAGCCGGCCUGAGAGGGUGGACGGCCACAUUGGGACUGAGAUACGGCCCAGACUCCUACGGGAGGCAGCAGUGGGGAAUAUUGCACAAUGGGCGCAAGCCUGAUGCAGCGAGGCCGCGUGGGGGAUGACGGCCUUCAGGUUGUAAACUCCUUUCGCUAGGGACGAAGCUUUUUGUGACGGUACCUAGAGAAGAAGCACCGGCUAACUACGUG
This 465-nucleotide ribosomal RNA is filed under the name uncultured bacterium. Its description in RNAcentral is "partial 16S ribosomal RNA". It matches the Rfam family "Bacterial small subunit ribosomal RNA", at positions 28 to 507 of the family's 1533-position model. The record is from RNAcentral.